GGGCGAAUAGCUCAGCUGGCCAGAGCGCCUGCCUUACAAGCAGGAGGCCACAGGUUCGAGCCCUGUUUCGCCCACCA
This 77-nucleotide transfer RNA is filed under the name Candidatus Latescibacterota bacterium. Its description in RNAcentral is "Candidatus Latescibacteria bacterium tRNA-Val". It matches the Rfam family "tRNA". From Rfam's summary of the family: Transfer RNA (tRNA) molecules are approximately 80 nucleotides in length. RNAcentral also lists the same sequence under 1 other name. The record is from RNAcentral. Lineage: Bacteria; Pseudomonadati; Candidatus Latescibacterota.